CAUUAAGAAGCUAUGAACCAGCACUAGCCUUUUAAGCUAGAGACAGAGGAAAACACCCCUCCUUAAUGA
RNAcentral lists this transfer RNA (69 nucleotides) under Manorina melanocephala (noisy miner). Its description in RNAcentral is "tRNA-Lys". It matches the Rfam family "tRNA". From Rfam's summary of the family: Transfer RNA (tRNA) molecules are approximately 80 nucleotides in length. Their secondary structure includes four short double-helical elements and three loops (D, anti-codon, and T loops). Further hydrogen bonds mediate the characteristic L-shaped molecular structure. tRNAs have two regions of fundamental functional importance: the anti-codon, which is responsible for specific mRNA codon recognition, and the 3' end, to which the tRNAs corresponding amino acid is attached (by aminoacyl-tRNA synthetases). tRNAs cope with the degeneracy of the genetic code in two manners: having more than one tRNA (with a specific anti-codon) for a particular amino acid; and 'wobble' base-pairing, i.e. permitting non-standard base-pairing at the 3rd anti-codon position. Lineage: Eukaryota; Metazoa; Chordata; Aves; Passeriformes; Meliphagidae. The record is from RNAcentral.